AACGAACGCUGGCGGCAUGCCUAACACAUGCAAGUCGAACGAGACCUUCGGGUCUAGUGGCGCACGGGUGCGUAACGCGUGGGAACCUGCCCUUAGGUUCGGAAUAACUCCCCGAAAGGGGUGCUAAUACCGGAUAAUGUCUUCGGACCAAAGAUUUAUCGCCUUUGGAUGGGCCCGCGUUGGAUUAGCUAGUUGGUAGGGUAAAAGCCUACCAAGGCGACGAUCCAUAGCUGGUCUGAGAGGAUGAUCAGCCACACUGGGACUGAGACACGGCCCAGACUCCUACGGGAGGCAGCAGUGGGGAAUAUUGUACAAUGGGCGAAAGCCUGAUCCAGCAAUGCCGCGUGAGUGAGGAAGGCCUUAGGGUUGUAAAGCUCUUUUACCCGGGAUGAUAAUGACAGUACCGGGAGAAUAAGCUCCGGCUAACUCCGUG
This 433-nucleotide ribosomal RNA is filed under the name uncultured bacterium. RNAcentral's name for it is "partial 16S ribosomal RNA". It matches the Rfam family "Bacterial small subunit ribosomal RNA", at positions 29 to 507 of the family's 1533-position model. The record is from RNAcentral.